This 946-nucleotide long non-coding RNA is filed under the name Cricetulus griseus (Chinese hamster). Its description in RNAcentral is "lncRNA (ENSCGRG00015042689.1)". The record is from RNAcentral. Lineage: Eukaryota; Metazoa; Chordata; Mammalia; Rodentia; Cricetidae.
UGGUUUUAUUUUCAAAAUGUUUCAGAAGUUAUUCUACUAUAAAGGAACAUGGCUGAACAGUUAGGAGACUGACCCUCCUUUGUGGGUUCUCCUGAUAGCUUCUGCAAGGAUCAUGGAGAUGUCAGACACCUGUAUUUUGGAGCAAUGCUUCAACUCAUCCUACUGAGCACCCUGUGAUCCACUUCGUUGGCCUUCUUCCAUUCCCUUGUGAGUCAAGGCAAAAUCCACAUUCAAUCGGUCUGCAAUGGAGUCACUCUUGGCUCCACCAGCAUCAGGUCUCCUGGUUGCUGAAUUUCUUAGUCACCACCUUGCCUAGCUCCAGGCUUAGGCGGUCAGCAGUUUUCUGGGAUAAGUCCUGUUGGGAUAUCCUGCUGAAGAUUUUGAUGUUAGGCAUCUUGGGCAACUACACAAAUGCGCCCUUCGCUCAGUGGUCAUCGCUGGUGCAGAGAUUGGAUCCGAAGUAAGCUGGUAGCCUAUACACCUACAGCACCGCUGCUGCUCAGCCAUCUUACAUUCUUGGAGCACACAGCUCUAAAUCACACACUGAGCACCAAGCGAGGAGGCGGGAUCACAGAUCACAAAGCCCUUCUUCCAGUGGGUGCAGACUGAAUCUCUUCCUCUCCUGAUGUAUAUGGACUUGGAACUACUUUACUUACCUCACCUGCUUUAUAACCUGCCUUACCUGAUUCGUUGGCAUCAGUGUAGAAGGUAAGAACUCCAGAAAUGGGAGUUUGUCUUACAAUACGUGGAAGAAUCCAGACUGUCUUUUUUAUGAAUUUAAUUCUGUCAGUUUUGGGAUAGUUGUUGCUAAUUGUUCCCAAAAAGUCAGUAAGAGCUAUUUGCCAAUAUUCAUUAUCCUUCCAUAAGGAGGAAAUUUCUUCAUUAGUUAAAGGUACUAUAAUUUCUGCUGGAUCUUUUCCAGUCAGCUGAUGAAGUCUUAAUUUAC